UACGAAAGGGGCAAGCGUUGCUCGGAUUCACUGGGCUUAAAGGGCGCGUAGGCGGCUUUGUAAGUCCGAGGUGGAAUUCCACAGCUUAACUGUGGAACUGCCUUGGAAACUGCAAGGCUUGAGUCAGGUAGAGGGAGGCGGAAUUCCCGGUGUAGCGGUGAAAUGCGUAGAUAUCGGGAGGAAGGCCGGUGGCGAAGGCGGCCUCCUGGGCCUGCACUGACGCUGAGGCGCGAAAGCGUGGGGAGCAAACAGG
Molecule: ribosomal RNA, 253 nt
Filed under: uncultured microorganism
Description: partial 16S ribosomal RNA
Rfam family: Bacterial small subunit ribosomal RNA
Source: RNAcentral